This 1272-nucleotide ribosomal RNA is filed under the name metagenome. RNAcentral describes it as "bacterial LSU rRNA". It matches the Rfam family "Bacterial large subunit ribosomal RNA", at positions 1676 to 2925 of the family's 2925-position model. The record is from RNAcentral.
AAAUACCAAGGCGAUCGGGUGAACUGUGGUUAAGGAACUCGGCAAAUUGCCCCCGUAACUUCGGGAGAAGGGGGACCUCUGUUGGUGAUGGGCUUUACGCCUGGAGCUGGUGGGGGUCGCAGUGGCCAGGGGGAAGCGACUGUUUACUAAAAACACAGGUCCGUGCGAAGUCGUAAGACGAUGUAUACGGACUGACGCCUGCCCGGUGCCGGAACGUUAAGGGGACCGCUUAGCCGACGUGAGUUGGCGAAGGUGAGAACUUAAGCGCCGGUAAACGGCGGUGGUAACUAUAACCAUCCUAAGGUAGCGAAAUUCCUUGUCGGGUAAGUUCCGACCUGCACGAAUGGCGUAACGACUUCCCCGCUGUCUCAACCGCAGACCCGGCGAAAUUGCACUACGAGUAAAGAUGCUCGUUUCGCGCAGCAGGACGGAAAGACCCCGGGACCUUCACUACAGCUUGACAUUGGCGUUUGGAACGUCUUGUGUAGGAUAGGUGGGAGACUGGGAAGCUGUCACGCUAGUGAUGGUGGAGUCAUUGGUGAAAUACCACUCUGGUCGUUUUGAACGUCUAACUCUGGUCCGUGAUCCGGAUCGGGGACAGUGUCUGGUGGGUAGUUUAACUGGGGCGGUUGCCUCCUAAAGAGUAACGGAGGCGCCCAAAGGUUCCCUCAGCCUGGUUGGCAAUCAGGUGUAGAGUGUAGGUGCACAAGGGAGCUUGACUGUGAGACUGACAGGUCGAGCAGGAGCGAAAGCUGGGACUAGUGAUCCGGCAUCGGCGUGUGGAAGCGGUGUCGCUCAACGGCUAAAAGGUACCCCGGGGAUAACAGGCUGAUCUUCCCCAAGAGUCCAUAUCGACGGGAUGGUUUGGCACCUCGAUGUCGGCUCGUCGCAUCCUGGGGCUGGAGUAGGUCCCAAGGGUUGGGCUGUUCGCCCAUUAAAGCGGUACGCGAGCUGGGUUUAGAACGUCGCGAGACAGUUCGGUCCCUAUCCGCUGCGCGCGCAGGAGACUUGAAGGGGGCUGUCCCUAGUACGAGAGGACCGGGACGGACGAACCUCUGGUGUGCCAGUUGUACCGCCAGGUGCACGGCUGGUUGGCUACGUUCGGAAGGGAUAACCGCUGAAAGCAUCUAAGCGGGAAGCUCGCCUUGAGAUGAGGUCUCCCACCACGAGAGUGGGUAAGGCUCCCGGUAGACGACCGGGUUGAUAGGCCGGAGGUGGAAGCACGGUAACGUGUGGAGCUGACCGGUACUAAUAGGCCGAGGACUUGACCAC